GGUGAUGAUUAUCCUAUUCUCACUGGAAAAUCCAUUACUACUAUGUCUUUAAGUUCUUGUACUACUCAGGGGAAGCCAAAGUAUAUAUCAUGGAAUGAUGAAUUGUUUGAGUCCACAAUGCAGAUAUAUAAAAUCUCUUUUAGGAACAGGUGACAAAAAUGAGGAAAAGGAAAAAGAGAUGAAGUAGGAAUAUAUCGGGACAAUUGAUUGGAUUAAGAAACGAUUGGGAGACAAAGUUGCAAGUGUGCAGAUUUCAAACCAAUUGAGCUCUUUGUCUUGUGUCCUGGUGUCGGAAAAUUUUGGUUGGUCUGCAAGUUUGGAAAGGCUAAUGAAGUCACAAACUAUGGAUGAUGCCACUAGCUUGGAAAUCAUGAGAAGCAAAAGGGUGUUUGAGAUCAACCCUGAACAUCCAAUUAACAAGAACUUGGAUGUGUGAAUCUAUUUUUGUCACGUGUCCUAAGUCUAAUGAUAUAAUUAUUCCUAUAAAUUAAAUUGUCAGUGCUACAUCACACUAUGGUUUUGUUAAGAUAAGUUGCACCCACACAUGUGAUGGUAUAUAUUUGCUAUCAAAGAAAAAAGUGGUGCAAAAUUGGAACACAUGCUAUUAGGUUUUAGCAGUUUUUCAAAUCAAAACAGACCCAAGAAUUUCUUGUUUUCUCGAUGGCCAGGAUUUAGACCCAAGAUCAUGUUGUCAAGUUUAUCGGUCUUUUUCUUUUUUUUCUUUCUCUAGAUCUGUGAAACUUUUCCAGUACAAUUGUUUUUACGUUAUAUACCAUUUAUAACUCAUAAAGCCUAUCAAUUGUGCUUAAGUGAGCCUGGUUUAUUGGUUAAUGUGACAUGCUUUCAUUCUAA
Molecule: long non-coding RNA, 852 nt
Organism: Vicia villosa (hairy vetch)
Lineage: Eukaryota; Viridiplantae; Streptophyta; Magnoliopsida; Fabales; Fabaceae
Exons: 4
Source: RefSeq, a predicted model, not a curated record